CAGGUUGCUAACGGUGGCGACCCUUGGUCUGGGGGAGGAGCUUACACCAACGACACCCAGGGAUACACACAGACCCAACAUAAUGCAGCCGAGAAAAGACCUUCAUUUCCUGAUGGAAACCAACAACGAAUACAAAGGGCUGCUAGGCUGCUUCCCUGAUACUAUCGGAGUACACAAGCUAUAGAGAAGGUGAGGCAAGGGGAUAAGAUGGUGGCAGCAGGGAAGAUCACCACACAGGACAAAGUGACCAUGACCAAACGCACCAGCAUCAUGUCCUACUAACUACAAGAUUGCUGAGAAGCUGAAGCAAGGCCUGGGCCAGUGUACCAAACUGUGACGGGAAACACAAACACGUGUCUCUGCUCCUCUCUGCUUCGUGGACCAACAACCUUAAACUCCUCUUCUACGGACAUACCGGGAUGGACUGGUGUCUGGAUGAUCUAGUUGAAAGACUGUGUCACUCUGUGCCUUUAAACUACAGGACGAGCUAGAGAUAAUGUUGACCUAUCUCUUUAGAAAGAAAGAGGAGAGAGAGAGAAGAGAGGA
Salvelinus namaycush (lake trout) is the source of this 546-nucleotide long non-coding RNA. RefSeq lists it as uncharacterized. NCBI's taxonomy places the organism in Eukaryota, Metazoa, Chordata, Actinopteri, Salmoniformes, Salmonidae. The record is from RefSeq and is a predicted model, not a curated record. The transcript is spliced from 4 exons.